AGGGGGCCGCCUUCGCCACCGGUAUUCCUCCAGAUCUCUACGCAUUUCACCGCUACACCUGGAAUUCUACCCCCCUCUACAAGACUCUAGCUUGCCAGUUUCAAAUGCAGUUCCCAAGUUAAGCUCGGGGAUUUCACAUCUGACUUAACAAACCGCCUGCGUGCGCUUUACGCCCAGUAAUUCCGAUUAACGCUUGCACCCUCCGUAUUACCGCGGCUGCUGGCACGGAGUUAGCCGGUGCUUCUUCUGCGAGUAACGUCAAUCACUAAGGUUAUUAACCUUAAUGCCUUCCUCCUCGCUGAAAGUACUUUACAACCCGAAGGCCUUCUUCAUACACGCGGCAUGGCUGCAUCAGGCUUGCGCCCAUUGUGCAAUAUUCCCCACUGCUGCCUCCCGUAGGAGUCUGGACCGUGUCUCAGUUCCAGUGUGGCUGGUCAUCCUCUCAGACCAGCUAGAGAUCGUCGCCUAGGUGAGCCAUUACCCCACCUACUAGCUAAUCCCAUCUGGGCACAUCUGAUGGCGUGAGGCCCGAAGGUCCCCCACUUUGGUCCGAAGACGUCAUGCGGUAUUAGCUACCGUUUCCAGUAGUUAUCCCCCUCCAUCAGGCAGUUUCCCAGACAUUACUCACCCGUCCGCCGCUCGUCACCCAGAGAGCAAGCUCUCUUGUGCUACCGCUCGACUUNAUGUGUUANGCCUGCCGCAGCGUUCAAUCUGAGCCANGAUAAA
Molecule: ribosomal RNA, 726 nt
Filed under: Hafnia alvei
Lineage: Bacteria; Pseudomonadati; Pseudomonadota; Gammaproteobacteria; Enterobacterales; Hafniaceae
Description: partial 16S ribosomal RNA
Source: RNAcentral